This 482-nucleotide ribosomal RNA is filed under the name uncultured bacterium. RNAcentral describes it as "partial 16S ribosomal RNA". It matches the Rfam family "Bacterial small subunit ribosomal RNA", at positions 28 to 507 of the family's 1533-position model. The record is from RNAcentral.
GACGAACGCUGGCGGCGUGCUUAACACAUGCAAGUCGAACGAUGACGAAGAGAAACGCGAACUUCGGUUCAAAUUUCACUUCGGAUUAGUGGCAGACGGGUGAGUAACGCGUGAGCAACCUACCUCUUACAAAGGGAUAGCCUCGGGAAACCGUGAUUACUACCAUAUGACACAUUCAUAAGGCAUCUUAAGAAUGUUAAAGCUACGGCGGUAAGAGAUGGGCUCGCGUCCCAUUAGCUAGUUGGUGAGGUAACGGCCCACCAAGGCGACGAUGGGUAACCGGCCUGAGAGGGUGAACGGUCACAUUGGAACUGAGACACGGUCCAAACUCCUACGGGAGGCAGCAGUGGGGAAUAUUGCACAAUGGAGGGAACUCUGAUGCAGCGACGCCGCGUGAGCGAUGAAGGAAGUCGUUUCGUAAAGCUCUGUUCUAUGGGAAGAAAAGGACUGUACCAUAGGAGAAAGCCCCGGCUAAAUACGUG